Molecule: ribosomal RNA, 517 nt
Filed under: uncultured fungus
Lineage: Eukaryota; Fungi
Description: SSU rRNA
Rfam family: Eukaryotic small subunit ribosomal RNA
Source: RNAcentral
AUUAAAAACCAAUGCCCUUCGGGGCUCUCUGGUGAUUCAUAAUACUUUCUCGAAUCGCACGCCCUUGCGCCGGCGAUGGUUCAUUCAAAUUUCUGCCCUAUCAACUUUCGACGGCUGGGUCUUGGCCAGCCGUGGUGACAACGGGUAACGGAGGGUUAGGGCUCGACCCCGGAGAAGGAGCCUGAGAAACGGCUACUACAUCCGAGGAAGGCAGCAGGCGCGCAAAUUACCCAAUCCCGACACGGGGAGGUAGUGACAAUAAAUACUGAUACAGGGCUCUUUCGGGUCUUGUAAUUGGAAUGAGUACAAUUUAAAUCCCUUAACGAGGAACAAUUGGAGGGCAAGUCUGGUGCCAGCAGCCGCGGUAAUUCCAGCUCCAAUAGCGUAUAUUAAAGUUGUUGAGGUUAAAAGCUCGUAGUUGAACCUUGGGCCUAGCCGGCCGGUCCGCCUCACCGCGUGCACUGGCUCGGCUGGGUCUUUCCUUCUGGAGAACCGCAUGCCCUUCACUGGGUGUGCC